AGAACUUACAGUUGGUUUAACAGCAUUUGGACUCCCAUAUGCAACACAAGGAUCUUUGCCUAAAACAGUAUUGCCCACACACCAUCCGCCUGGAGUAAACCGCCCAUCCGAUCUCCUCAAAAGUUUUUCAUCAAUUUUGUUGAGAACUGGAUCAUCCUUAGCAAAUUCACGAGCAAAAGGGGCACCACUUUCAACCAUUUCUUCAAAAUGUUCCAAAGCUAGAGAUAUUGGACGUUGCUUUGGAGGGUUAUCCCACUUUAUGUAAUGCAAGUCAUUAUUUACAGUAGUGUUUUGAUAAUCCUUGUGAUUGCACACAAGGGUAUGGAAAUAACCCUCUGGUGAUGACAGGAAAUUUGCAUAGUACAUGAGGAGAGUGCGGGGAAGAUUAUC
Molecule: unclassified non-coding RNA, 390 nt
Filed under: Hevea brasiliensis (rubber tree)
Lineage: Eukaryota; Viridiplantae; Streptophyta; Magnoliopsida; Malpighiales; Euphorbiaceae
Source: RNAcentral